Long non-coding RNA from Neocloeon triangulifer, 1409 nucleotides. RefSeq lists it as uncharacterized. The transcript has 3 exons. The record is from RefSeq and is a predicted model, not a curated record. NCBI's taxonomy places the organism in Eukaryota, Metazoa, Arthropoda, Insecta, Ephemeroptera, Baetidae.
CAUGUACGAAUAGUAGAAGGCAACAUAAAUGAAGACGGAGAUCCAGAGGAUGACAGAACCUAAGAGGAGGACGGCGCCACCCCGGAUAAUUGCUUCUUUGGCGCCGCCGACAGUCGAGUCCAAAGUGCGCUGCGUGAGACCCUGGAUUUUGCGGCUGAUUGUCUCCAUCUUUCACUCUCGUCAGACAAUCCUGAGAUAAAGUACAGUCCGAUUAGCUGCGAUGAAACUACGAGUUCAACGAGUUGUGGAGAAGUGCUGAGAUUAGGAGAGGGGCCAAAUCAUCCAACUACACGACCUUUGUGAGGAGCCGGUCUCUGGCCUCGUCAAUGUCCAUGCAAACGACGGCCUGUUUUGCAUCGUGGAAGGAGGCCAAUGGGUGUUGUCUGCACGGCUCGCACACUCUAACUGGAAAUUCGUGGCCCAGUUCAGGCAUCGUCGUUCGAGAGGACGAACACUUGUCGCAUACAGCCCUGCCACACAACCUGCAGUGGUGCUGGCGCAGACCCAGCUGCUUCUGGUCCAUCAUGGCGCGCACAUUCCAGAAGAAGGGUCGGCCACAACGCUGGCAUGUGUCUGACUCGAACCAAUCAGGAGUCUGGAAAUAAUUCAUAAAUUUAAAUCUUUACUUUAUUUGAUCUUGAAAAUUUUCACACCUCUUUCCUCUUGACCGUCAUGUCCCAGCAAACAAUUUGUGAAUCUUCUCCACCGGAGAAAAGUUGUUGACUGGCAGCGGCAAAAGCAAGAGCAGUCACCUUAUUUCUGUAAAAAAAAAACAUAUCAAUAAUUAACUUGGAUAUUUUAAAAAUCACUUCAUUGGAAAAUCGCCAUUAUAAAUCAUCAUUUUCAUUUUCUUUCAUAAAUUUAUUUUUACUUGUGGCCCUGGAGCUCAUAAGCAGUUCCUUGCUGUCCACCAAUGUCCCAAACAAUCACACUCUGGUCGAAGGAGCCACUGAACAGCAACUUCUUCUCAGCACACCAAGCAAGGGACCUGAUGCUGCCCGAAUGUCCUCUCAGGGUAGUGACGUGCGAAACGCCACCCGAACUGGUCCCAGACCCGUCUCCACUGACGCCACCCAACUUUAGCAUUGCGAUUUCUCCAGAAAAGUCGCCGACAAAGGCAUACUUAGCUUGCGAAUCAAAUCUGUAUGUGUGUUAAGGAAAAUAAUAAUAAUGCCUUACAAAAAUUUACACAAUAACUGAAGAUUAGCAGAAUAAAAGAAGCAGGCAAAAAUAAUUUCCGUUCAUUUGGAAAAGAACUUAUUGUUAGUAGAAACAUUUUUUAGUGAUGUAUUAACUAAUCAGGAGUUGAUAACAUUAACCGUAUUUCAACCCACUUCCUUAAGGAAGAGAAACGCUUUUGAUCUAUAAAAAAAACAAGCAUUUUUUAGUAAAUACCUUGAAAAAUAAAA